This is a long non-coding RNA of Vespula pensylvanica (western yellowjacket), 795 nucleotides long. RefSeq lists it as uncharacterized. The transcript has 3 exons. NCBI's taxonomy places the organism in Eukaryota, Metazoa, Arthropoda, Insecta, Hymenoptera, Vespidae. The record is from RefSeq and is a predicted model, not a curated record.
CUGAAAGAAUCCAUGUUUUUGUCGACAGUCACAGUUUUGUAAUAAUGUCAUAAUCACAACAAUUUAUCGUAAUCACUAUAAUCACUAUAAUGAGUAAUAAUAGGAAAAGGUUUUAAAAUUGUUAAAACCACCAAUGCGUUAUUUUACAAAAAAAGAAAAAGAAACUAUAUGUGUUACUUAAAAGGAUAAUCAUUUGUAUGAACCUAGAAUAAGAAAAGAAACUAUAAUAUACGUAUAGUUUUGUGCAAAUAUCGGAUCUUAAAACAUGAUAUGAGGCAUAUAAACAAACAUGAUUAUCUUUCCAUAAAUCAGAAGGCAGCUACUAGGUGACUUAAUAUAUAUAAUAUUUAUGGACCAAUGCGUUAGAGCAAGAUACGAGAUAUUUUAUAUUAUUUAAAAAUGUUAUAUGUAUUCAUAAUUACGUCUAUUUUAUAAGAAAUAAAACUGGUGUUGGAUUGUUUUAAGAAAUAUAACACGAUAAUUAAGAAUAAAUGCAUGUAUAAUGCUUGUAUUUUGCAUAUUGAUAACAGUAGUGAAUAUAUAAACAACAGUUUGAAAGAUUUUCUUAUUUGUGAAGGAAUAACUCAUAGUGCAUUGCUUUGUACAUUCCAGAAAGAAAUCCGUACAAUAGCAGAAUUGUUUAUAGCUGUUCUAUUGACUGGACGUUCGCAAAAAAUCUUUGGCAAUGUUUUCUAUAACGCUAUAGUUGUUUCAUGUACUCAUCUUGUACUACAUACAUUUAACGACAAAUAUAUAUUUAACGUGCGAUCAAUUGCAAUUUAACCAAUUUAAAAG